Long non-coding RNA from Tachyglossus aculeatus (Australian echidna), 225 nucleotides. RefSeq lists it as uncharacterized. The transcript is spliced from 2 exons. The record is from RefSeq and is a predicted model, not a curated record. NCBI's taxonomy places the organism in Eukaryota, Metazoa, Chordata, Mammalia, Monotremata, Tachyglossidae.
ACCAGCAACAGCGACACCGGGACGGCGCCCAGGCCCUCGCCAGCCCCGACGGCGCCCUCGCCGAGGCCCCCAGGACCGUCAAGAAGGUACGAGUGAGCUGUGAUCUGAGCAGGGAGGCUUGGUGACAGCAGCGAAGAGGAUGAAGCAACAGAAGAUUGAAUUUUCCUCCAGAACAGUCCCCAAGCUGUGUAAACUCAGGUUAAAUUAAAUACUUUCCAAAACAAA